Molecule: ribosomal RNA, 930 nt
Filed under: Rhizonema sp. 'cyanobiont of Dictyonema barbatum'
Lineage: Bacteria; Bacillati; Cyanobacteriota; Cyanophyceae; Nostocales; Rhizonemataceae
Description: bacterial SSU rRNA
Rfam family: Bacterial small subunit ribosomal RNA
Source: RNAcentral
GAUGAACGCUGGCGGUAUGCUUAACACAUGCAAGUCGAACGGUCUCUUCGGAGAUAGUGGCGGACGGGUGAGUAACGCGUGAGAAUCUGGCUCUAGGUCUGGGACAACCACUGGAAACGGUGGCUAAUACCGGGUGUGCCGAAAGGUGAAAGGUUAACUGCCUGGAGAUGAGCUCGCGUCUGAUUAGCUAGUUGGUAGGGUAAAAGCUUACCAAGGCGACGAUCAGUAGCUGGUCUGAGAGGACGAUCAGCCACACUGGGACUGAGACACGGCCCAGACUCCUACGGGAGGCAGCAGUGGGGAAUUUUCCGCAAUGGGCGAAAGCCUGACGGAGCAAUACCGCGUGAGGGAGGAAGGCUCUUGGGUUGUAAACCUCUUUUCUCAGGGAAGAAUAAUGACGGUACUUGAGGAAUAAGCAUCGGCUAACUCCGUGCCAGCAGCCGCGGUAAUACGGAGGAUGCAAGCGUUAUCCGGAAUGAUUGGGCGUAAAGCGUUCGCAGGUGGCAUUGAAAGUCUGCUGUCAAAGAGUCUGGCUCAACCAGAUACAGGCAGUGGAAACUUCAAAGCUAGAGUGCGGUAGGGGCAGAGGGAAUUCCUGGUGUAGCGGUGAAAUGCGUAGAGUUCAGGAAGAACACCGGUGGCGAAAGCGCUCUGCUAGACCGCAACUGACACUGAGGGACGAAAGCUAGGGGAGCGAAUGGGAUUAGAUACCCCAGUAGUCCUAGCCGUAAACGAUGGAUACUAGGCGUUGCUCGUAUCGACCCGAGCAGUGCCGUAGCUAACGCGUUAAGUAUCCCGCCUGGGGAGUACGCACGCAAGUGUGAAACUCAAAGGAAUUGACGGGGGCCCGCACAAGCGGUGGAGUAUGUGGUUUAAUUCGAUGCAACGCGAAGAACCUUACCAAGGCUUGACAUGUCCGGAAUCCUCGUG